UUUCGGGGCUUUCUACAAGGUGCUGCAUGGUUGUCGUCAGCUCGUGCCGUGAGGUGUCGGGUUAAGUCCCAUAACGAGCGCAACCCUUUAUCGUUAGUUGCCAUCUGGUAAAGCAGGGGACUCUAGCGAAACUGCCACCGUAAGGUGAGAGGAAGGUGGGGAUGACGUCAAAUCAGCACGGCCCUUAUGUCCAGGGCUACACACGUGUUACAAUGGUCGGUACAGAGGGCAGCUACCUGGUGACAGGAUGCUAAUCUCGAAAACCGGCCUCAGUUCGGAUCGAAGUCUGCAACUCGACUUCGUGAAGCUGGAUUCGCUAGUAAUCGCGCAUCAGCCAUGGCGCGGUGAAUACGUUCCCGGGCCUU
Molecule: ribosomal RNA, 365 nt
Filed under: uncultured Sphingobacteriales bacterium
Lineage: Bacteria; Pseudomonadati; Bacteroidota; Sphingobacteriia; Sphingobacteriales
Description: bacterial SSU rRNA
Rfam family: Bacterial small subunit ribosomal RNA
Source: RNAcentral